Formica exsecta is the source of this 238-nucleotide long non-coding RNA. RefSeq lists it as uncharacterized. The record is from RefSeq and is a predicted model, not a curated record. Lineage: Eukaryota; Metazoa; Arthropoda; Insecta; Hymenoptera; Formicidae. The transcript is spliced from 2 exons.
CCUCUACCGGAAAGACUCGAGCCUGACCGAAUUUCCCUCGUCGUGAUAUUAGUCACAACAAAAAAAUCGUGGUGAUCGCGCAAAAAGUUUUCGGCGCUGCUUAUUUUUCGCGUCCCCUCGGCAGCAAGGUGCUGAUCACAAACACGUCGGCGCCCCGUCCAGGAUUCGUCGACGACGCGAAACUGCACAAUUACGUAGGAGUUAUAGGGCAAUAUCAGCAUUCACAAUGGCGGGAGAA